GCCCCUAUAGUUCAACGGAUAGAACACGAGCUUGCGGAGCUUGAGAUGUAGGUUCAAUUCCUGCUGGGGGCACCA
Molecule: transfer RNA, 75 nt
Filed under: Parcubacteria group bacterium
Lineage: Bacteria
Description: tRNA-Arg
Rfam family: tRNA
About the family: Transfer RNA (tRNA) molecules are approximately 80 nucleotides in length. Their secondary structure includes four short double-helical elements and three loops (D, anti-codon, and T loops).
Source: RNAcentral